Molecule: non-coding RNA, 90 nt
Filed under: bovine gut metagenome
Description: S10-Clostridia ribosomal protein leader
Rfam family: S10-Clostridia ribosomal protein leader
Source: RNAcentral
UGAUAGCUGUGAAGCGUGAGGUUGCUGUCGGAGCGGCGACGCCCGUAAAGACAGGUUUUCCGUGGAGCGAAUGUCAAACAAUCUGACGAC